GGGUUGCUAACUCAACGGUAGAGUAUUCGGCUUUUAACCGAUCGGUUCCGGGUUCGAAUCCCGGGCAACCUAC
RNAcentral lists this transfer RNA (73 nucleotides) under Cistanche deserticola. RNAcentral's name for it is "tRNA-Lys". It matches the Rfam family "tRNA". Rfam says of the family: Transfer RNA (tRNA) molecules are approximately 80 nucleotides in length. Their secondary structure includes four short double-helical elements and three loops (D, anti-codon, and T loops). Lineage: Eukaryota; Viridiplantae; Streptophyta; Magnoliopsida; Lamiales; Orobanchaceae. RNAcentral also lists the same sequence under 1 other name. The record is from RNAcentral.